RNAcentral lists this ribosomal RNA (125 nucleotides) under Alkalibacterium olivapovliticus. Lineage: Bacteria; Bacillati; Bacillota; Bacilli; Lactobacillales; Carnobacteriaceae. The record is from RNAcentral.
UGCGGUGACGAUGGCGGGAAGGAUCCACCUGUUCCCAUUUCGAACACAGCCGUUAAGCUUCCCAGCGCCGAGGAUAGUGAAGGGUUUCCCUUUGUGAAAGCAGGACGUUGCCGUGCAGCUCUUUU